GGGUUGUGAGGUUAAGCGACUAAGCGUACACGGUGGAUGCCCUGGCAGUCAGAGGCGAUGAAGGGCGUGCUAAUCUGCGAUAAGCGCCGGUAAGGUGAUAUGAACCGUUAUAACCGGCGAUACCCGAAUGGGGAAACCCAGUGUGACUCGUCACACUAUCAUUAACUGAAUCCAUAGGUUAAUGAGGCGAACCGGGGGAACUGAAACAUCUAAGUACCCCGAGGAAAAGAAAUCAACCGAGAUUCCCCCAGUAGCGGCGAGCGAACGGGGAGGAGCCCAGAGCCUGAAUCAGCAUGUGUGUUAGUGGAAGCGUCUGGAAAGGCGCGCGAUACAGGGUGACAGCCCCGUACACAAAAGCGCAUGUGCUGUGAGCUCGAUGAGUAGGGCGGGACACGUGGUAUCCUGUCUGAAUAUGGGGGGACCAUCCUCCAAGGCUAAAUACUCCUGACUGACCGAUAGUGAACCAGUACCGUGAGGGAAAGGCGAAAAGAACCCCGGCGAGGGGAGUGAAAAAGAACCUGAAACCGUGUACGUACAAGCAGUGGGAGNNNNNNNNNNNNNNNNNNNNNGCGUACCUUUUGUAUAAUGGGUCAGCGACUUAUAUUCUGUAGCAAGGUUAACCGAAUAGGGGAGCCGGAGGGAAACCGAGUCUUAAUUGGGCGUUAAGUUGCAGGGUAUAGACCCGAAACCCGGUGAUCUAGCCAUGGGCAGGUUGAAGGUUGGGUAACACUAACUGGAGGACCGAACCGACUAAUGUUGAAAAAUUAGCGGAUGACCUGUGGCUGGGGGUGAAAGGCCAAUCAAACCGGGAGAUAGCUGGUUCUCCCCGAAAGCUAUUUAGGUAGCGCCUCGUGAAUUCAUCUCCGGGGGUAGAGCACUGUUUCGGCUAGGGGGCCAUCCCGGCUUACCAACCCGAUGCAAACUGCGAAUACCGGAGAAUGUUAUCACGGGAGACACACGGCGGGUGCUAACGUCCGUCGUGAAGAGGGAAACAACCCAGACCGCCAGCUAAGGUCCCAAAGUCAUGGUUAAGUGGGAAACGAUGUGGGAAGGCCCAGACAGCCAGGAUGUUGGCUUAGAAGCAGCCAUCAUUUAAAGAAAGCGUAAUAGCUCACUGGUCGAGUCGGCCUGCGCGGAAGAUGUAACGGGGCUAAACCAUGCACCGAAGCUGCGGCAGCGACACUGUGUGUUGUUGGGUAGGGGAGCGUUCUGUAAGCCUGCGAAGGUGGCCUGUGAGGGUUGCUGGAGGUAUCAGAAGUGCGAAUGCUGACAUAAGUAACGAUAAAGCGGGUGAAAAGCCCGCUCGCCGGAAGACCAAGGGUUCCUGUCCAACGUUAAUCGGGGCAGGGUGAGUCGACCCCUAAGGCGAGGCCGAAAGGCGUAGUCGAUGGGAAACGGGUUAAUAUUCCCGUACUUGGUGUUACUGCGAAGGGGGGACGGAGAAGGCUAUGUUGGCCGGGCGACGGUUGUCCCGGUUUAAGCGUGUAGGUGUGUGUUCCAGGUAAAUCCGGUUCACUUUAACACUGAGGCGUGACGACGAGGCACUACGGUGCUGAAGCAACAAAUGCCCUGCUUCCAGGAAAAGCCUCUAAGCAUCAGGUAACAUCAAAUCGUACCCCAAACCGACACAGGUGGUCAGGUAGAGAAUACCAAGGCGCUUGAGAGAACUCGGGUGAAGGAACUAGGCAAAAUGGUGCCGUAACUUCGGGAGAAGGCACGCUGACACGUAGGUGAAGUGAUUUACUCAUGGAGCUGAAGUCAGUCGAAGAUACCAGCUGGCUGCAACUGUUUAUUAAAAACACAGCACUGUGCAAACACGAAAGUGGACGUAUACGGUGUGACGCCUGCCCGGUGCCGGAAGGUUAAUUGAUGGGGUCAGCGCAAGCGAAGCUCCUGAUCGAAGCCCCGGUAAACGGCGGCCGUAACUAUAACGGUCCUAAGGUAGCGAAAUUCCUUGUCGGGUAAGUUCCGACCUGCACGAAUGGCGUAAUGAUGGCCAGGCUGUCUCCACCCGAGACUCAGUGAAAUUGAACUCGCUGUGAAGAUGCAGUGUACCCGCGGCAAGACGGAAAGACCCCGUGAACCUUUACUAUAGCUUGACACUGAACAUUGAGCCUUGAUGUGUAGGAUAGGUGGGAGGCUUUGAAGUGUGGACGCCAGUCUGCAUGGAGCCGACCUUGAAAUACCACCCUUUAAUGUUUGAUGUUCUAACGUGGACCCGUUACCCGGGUUGCGGACAGUGUCUGGUGGGUAGUUUGACUGGGGCGGUCUCCUCCUAAAGAGUAACGGAGGAGCACGAAGGUUGGCUAAUCCUGGUCGGACAUCAGGAGGUUAGUGCAAUGGCAUAAGCCAGCUUGACUGCGAGCGUGACGGCGCGAGCAGGUGCGAAAGCAGGUCAUAGUGAUCCGGUGGUUCUGAAUGGAAGGGCCAUCGCUCAACGGAUAAAAGGUACUCCGGGGAUAACAGGCUGAUACCGCCCAAGAGUUCAUAUCGACGGCGGUGUUUGGCACCUCGAUGUCGGCUCAUCACAUCCUGGGGCUGAAGUAGGUCCCAAGGGUAUGGCUGUUCGCCAUUUAAAGUGGUACGCGAGCUGGGUUUAGAACGUCGUGAGACAGUUCGGUCCCUAUCUGCCGUGGGCGCUGGAGAACUGAGGGGGGCUGCUCCUAGUACGAGAGGACCGGAGUGGACGCAUCACUGGUGUUCGGGUUGUCAUGCCAAUGGCACUGCCCGGUAGCUAAAUGCGGAAGAGAUAAGUGCUGAAAGCAUCUAAGCACGAAACUUGCCCCGAGAUGAGUUCUCCCUGAGACUUAAAGUCUCCUGAAGGAACGUUGAAGACGACGACGUUGAUAGGCCGGGUGUGUAAGCGCAGCGAUGCGUUGAGCUAACCGGUACUAAUGAACCGUGAGGCUUAACCUUACAACGCCGAAG
Molecule: ribosomal RNA, 2928 nt
Filed under: Salmonella enterica subsp. enterica serovar Enteritidis str. SA20093266
Lineage: Bacteria; Pseudomonadati; Pseudomonadota; Gammaproteobacteria; Enterobacterales; Enterobacteriaceae
Description: bacterial LSU rRNA
Rfam family: Bacterial large subunit ribosomal RNA
Source: RNAcentral